Molecule: small RNA, 99 nt
Filed under: Arabidopsis thaliana (thale cress)
Lineage: Eukaryota; Viridiplantae; Streptophyta; Magnoliopsida; Brassicales; Brassicaceae
Description: ATSL188610
Source: RNAcentral
UUUUUAAUUGUUUUGUCUACAAUUUGAGUUUUUUGGGGGAAUUUGUGGAAAUAGUGGGAAGGAGCUGCUAAUGAAGACGGAAGAACUCCUAGCGUCUGG